Molecule: ribosomal RNA, 447 nt
Filed under: Leptobrachium lumadorum
Lineage: Eukaryota; Metazoa; Chordata; Amphibia; Anura; Megophryidae
Description: partial 12S rRNA
Rfam family: Bacterial small subunit ribosomal RNA
Source: RNAcentral
CUCUCAGUUCAAAUUAAACUUACACAUGCAAGUCUCCCACUCCAGUGAAAAUGCCCUUUUUCUCCCUUAUAAGAAGAAAAGGAGUUGGUAUCAGGCUCAAAUAGCCCAAAACACCUAGCUCAGCCACACCUUCAAAGGAUUACAGCAGUGAUUAACAUUAAAUAUUAGCGCAAGCUAAACUUAGUUAUAAUUAAUAUAGUCGGUCAAUUUCGUGCCAGCCACCGCGGUUAUACGAAAGACUUAAACUGAAAGCCACCGGCGUAAAGCGUGAUUAGGGGAAAAUAUACUCUAAAGCUAAACUCUGAUUUAAUUGUUAUAAGUUAUUAUCAGCAGGAAAUUCAAUAACGAAAGUAGCUUUAUUACACCUGAAUUCACGGUAGCCAAGACCCAAACUGGGAUUAGAUACCCCACUAUGCUUGGCCCUAAACUUUGAUAAUUACAACUUAU